RNAcentral lists this ribosomal RNA (1358 nucleotides) under uncultured bacterium. Its description in RNAcentral is "bacterial SSU rRNA". It matches the Rfam family "Bacterial small subunit ribosomal RNA", at positions 28 to 1391 of the family's 1533-position model. The record is from RNAcentral.
GAUGAACGCUAGCGGCAGGCCUAACACAUGCAAGUCGAGGGGUAUUUGGAGCUUGCUCCAAAGAGACCGGCGCACGGGUGCGUAACGCGUAUGCAAUCUACCUUUUACUAAGGGAUAGCCCGGAGAAAUCCGGAUUAAUACCUUAUAGUUUUUAGAAUUGGCAUCAAUUUUAAAAUAAAGAUUUAUUGGUAAAAGAUGAGCAUGCGUCCCAUUAGUUAGUUGGUGUGGUAACGGCAUACCAAGACGAUGAUGGGUAGGGGUCCUGAGAGGGAGAUCCCCCACACUGGUACUGAGACACGGACCAGACUCCUACGGGAGGCAGCAGUGAGGAAUAUUGGUCAAUGGACGCAAGUCUGAACCAGCCAUGCCGCGUGCAGGAUGACGGUCCUAUGGAUUGUAAACUGCUUUUAUACGGGAAGAAACACCUCUACGAGUAGAGACUUGACGGUACCGUAAGAAUAAGGAUCGGCUAACUCCGUGCCAGCAGCCGCGGUAAUACGGAGGAUUCGAGCGUUAUCCGGAAUCAUUGGGUUUAAAGGGUCCGUAGGCGGAUUAGUAAGUCAGGGGUGAAAGUUUGCGGCUUAACCGUAAAAUUGCCUUUGAUACUGCUAGUCUUGAAUAUUUGUGAAGUAACUAGAAUAUGUAGUGUAGCGGUGAAAUGCAUAGAUAUUACAUGGAAUACCAAUUGCGAAGGCAGGUUACUAAGAAUAUAUUGACGCUGAUGGACGAAAGCGUGGGUAGCGAACAGGAUUAGAUACCCUGGUAGUCCACGCCGUAAACGAUGGAUACUAGCUGUUUGGAUUUAGGUUUGAGUGGCUAAGCGAAAGUGAUAAGUAUCCCACCUGGGGAGUACGUUCGCAAGAAUGAAACUCAAAGGAAUUGACGGGGGCCCGCACAAGCGGUGGAGCAUGUGGUUUAAUUCGAUGAUACGCGAGGAACCUUACCAGGGCUUAAAUGUGUUUUGACGUUAUUGGAAACAGUAAUUUCUUCGGACAAAAUACAAGGUGCUGCAUGGUUGUCGUCAGCUCGUGCCGUGAGGUGUCAGGUUAAGUCCUAUAACGAGCGCAACCCCUGUUGUUAGUUGCCAGCGAGUAAUGUCGGGAACUCUAGCAAGACUGCCGGUGUAAACCGUGAGGAAGGUGGGGAUGACGUCAAAUCAUCACGGCCCUUACGUCCUGGGCCACACACGUGCUACAACGGCCGGUACAGAGAGCAGCCACUUGGCGACAAGGAGCGAAUCUACAAAACCGGUCACAGUUCGGAUCGGAGUCUGCAACUCGACUCCGUGAAGCUGGAAUCGCUAGUAAUCGGAUAUCAGCCAUGAUCCGGUGAAUACGUUCCCGGGCCUUGUACUCACC